RNAcentral lists this ribosomal RNA (1492 nucleotides) under uncultured bacterium. Its description in RNAcentral is "16S ribosomal RNA". It matches the Rfam family "Bacterial small subunit ribosomal RNA". The record is from RNAcentral.
AGAGUUUGAUCCUGGCUCAGGAUGAACGCUAGCUACAGGCUUAACACAUGCAAGUCGAGGGGCAGCAUGGUCUUAGCUUGCUAAGGCCGAUGGCGACCGGCGCACGGGUGAGUAACGCGUAUCCAACCUGCCUUACACUCUUGGACAGCCUUCUGAAAGGGAGAUUAAUACAAGAUGUUAUCAUGAGUAAGCAUUUUCGCAUGAUUAAAGGUUUACCGGUGUAAGAUGGGGAUGCGUUCCAUUAGAUAGUAGGCGGGGUAACGGCCCACCUAGUCUUCGAUGGAUAGGGGUUCUGAGAGGAAGGUCCCCCACAUUGGAACUGAGACACGGUCCAAACUCCUACGGGAGGCAGCAGUGAGGAAUAUUGGUCAAUGGACGAGAGUCUGAACCAGCCAAGUAGCGUGAAGGAUGAAGGUUCUAUGGAUUGUAAACUUCUUUUAUACGGGAAUAAACGAAUCCACGCGUGGAUUUUUGCAUGUACCGUAUGAAUAAGGAUCGGCUAACUCCGUGCCAGCAGCCGCGGUAAUACGGAGGAUCCGAGCGUUAUCCGGAUUUAUUGGGUUUAAAGGGAGCGUAGAUGGGUUGUUAAGUCAGUUGUGAAAGUUUGCGGCUCAACCGUAAAAUUGCAAUUGAUACUGGCAGUCUUGAGUACGGUUGAGGUAGGCGGAAUUCGUGGUGUAGCGGUGAAAUGCUUAGAUAUCACGAAGAACUCCGAUUGCGAAGGCAGCUUACUAACCUGUAACUGACAUUGAUGCUCGAAAGUGUGGGUAUCAAACAGGAUUAGAUACCCUGGUAGUCCACACGGUAAACGAUGAAUACUCGCUGUAGGCGAUAUACAGUCUGCGGCCAAGCGAAAGCAUUAAGUAUUCCACCUGGGGAGUACGCCGGCAAUGGUGAAACUCAAAGGAAUUGACGGGGGCCCGCACAAGCGGAGGAACAUGUGGUUUAAUUCGAUGAUACGCGAGGAACCUUACCCGGGCUUAAAUUGCAACCGAAUAUGGCGGAAACGCUAUAGCUAGCAAUAGCGGUUGUGAAGGUGCUGCAUGGUUGUCGUCAGCUCGUGCCGUGAGGUGUCGGCUUAAGUGCCAUAACGAGCGCAACCCUUGCCGAUAGUUACUAACAGGUCAUGCUGAGGACUCUGUCGGGAAUGCCAUCGUAAGAUGUGAGGAAGGUGGGGAUGACGUCAAAUCAGCACGGCCCUUACGUCCGGGGCUACACACGUGUUACAAUGGGGGGUACAGAGGGCUGCUACCACGCAAGUGGAUGCCAAUCCCAAAAACCUCUCUCAGUUCGGAUUGAAGUCUGCAACCCGACUUCAUGAAGCUGGAUUCGCUAGUAAUCGCGCAUCAGCCACGGCGCGGUGAAUACGUUCCCGGGCCUUGUACACACCGCCCGUCAAGCCAUGGGAGCCGGGGGUACCUGAAGUGCGUAACCGCAAGGAGCGCCCUAGGGUAAAACUGGUGACUGGGGCUAAGUCGUAACAAGGUAGCCG